ACGCUGGCGGCGUGGCUAAUACGUGCAAGUCGAGCGAGCGGAACUAACAGAUUUACUUCGGUAAUGACGUUAGGAAAGCGAGCGGCGGAUGGGUGAGUAACACGUGGGGAACCUGCCCCAUAGUCUGGGAUACCACUUGGAAACAGGUGCUAAUACCGGAUAAGAAAGCAGAUCGCAUGAUCAGCUUUUGAAAGGCGGCGUAAGCUGUCGCUAUGGGAUGGCCCCGCGGUGCAUUAGCUAGUUGGUAAGGUAAAGGCUUACCAAGGCGAUGAUGCAUAGCCGAGUUGAGAGACUGAUCGGCCACAUUGGGACUGAGACACGGCCCAAACUCCUACGGGAGGCAGCAGUAGGGAAUCUUCCACAAUGGACGCAAGUCUGAUGGAGCAACGCCGCGUGAGUGAAGAAGGUUUUCGGAUCGUAAAGCUCUGUUGUUGGUGAAGAAGGAUAGAGGUAGUAACUGGCCUUUAUUUGACGGUAAUCAACCAGAAAGUCACGGCUAACUACGUGCCAGCAGCCGCGGUAAUACGUAGGUGGCAAGCGUUGUCCGGAUUUAUUGGGCGUAAAGCGAGCGCAGGCGGAAGAAUAAGUCUGAUGUGAAAGCCCUCGGCUUAACCGAGGAACUGCAUCGGAAACUGUUUUUCUUGAGUGCAGAAGAGGAGAGUGGAACUCCAUGUGUAGCGGUGGAAUGCGUAGAUAUAUGGAAGAACACCAGUGGCGAAGGCGGCUCUCUGGUCUGCAACUGACGCUGAGGCUCGAAAGCAUGGGUAGCGAACAGGAUUAGAUACCCUGGUAGUCCAUGCCGUAAGCGAUGGGUGCUAAGUGUUGGGAGGUUUCCGCCUCUCAGUGCUGCAGCUAACGCAUUAAGCACUCCGCCUGGGGAGUACGACCGCAAGGUUGAAACUCAAAGGAAUUGACGGGGGCCCGCACAAGCGGUGGAGCAUGUGGUUUAAUUCGAAGCAACGCGAAGAACCUUACCAGGUCUUGACAUCUAGUGCCAUUUGUAGAGAUACAAAGUUCCCUUCGGGGACGCUAAGACAGGUGGUGCAUGGCUGUCGUCAGCUCGUGUCGUGAGAUGUUGGGUUAAGUCCCGCAACGAGCGCAACCCUUGUUAUUAGUUGCCAGCAUUAAGUUGGGCACUCUAAUGAGACUGCCGGUGACAAACCGGAGGAAGGUGGGGAUGACGUCAAGUCAUCAUGCCCCUUAUGGCCUGGGCUACACACGUGCUACAAUGGGCAGUACAACGAGAAGCGAGCCUGCGAAGGCAAGCGAAUCUCUGAAAGCUGUUUUCAGUUCGGACUGCAGUCUGCAACUCGACUGCACGAAGCUGGAAUCGCUAGUAAUCGCGGAUCAGCACGCCGCGGUGAAUACGUUCCCGGGCCU
Molecule: ribosomal RNA, 1380 nt
Filed under: uncultured bacterium
Lineage: Bacteria
Description: 16S ribosomal RNA
Rfam family: Bacterial small subunit ribosomal RNA
Source: RNAcentral